This 73-nucleotide transfer RNA is filed under the name bacterium. RNAcentral's name for it is "tRNA-Arg". It matches the Rfam family "tRNA". From Rfam's summary of the family: Transfer RNA (tRNA) molecules are approximately 80 nucleotides in length. Their secondary structure includes four short double-helical elements and three loops (D, anti-codon, and T loops). Further hydrogen bonds mediate the characteristic L-shaped molecular structure. tRNAs have two regions of fundamental functional importance: the anti-codon, which is responsible for specific mRNA codon recognition, and the 3' end, to which the tRNAs corresponding amino acid is attached (by aminoacyl-tRNA synthetases). tRNAs cope with the degeneracy of the genetic code in two manners: having more than one tRNA (with a specific anti-codon) for a particular amino acid; and 'wobble' base-pairing, i.e. permitting non-standard base-pairing at the 3rd anti-codon position. RNAcentral also lists the same sequence under 1 other name. The record is from RNAcentral.
GCCCCUGUAGCUCAGUGGACAGAGCACCGGUUUCCUAAACCGGGGGUCGCAAGUUCGAAUCUUGCCGGGGGCG